CGGUAAUUCCAGCUCCAAUAGCGUAUACUAAAGUUGUUGCAGUUAAAAAGCUCGUAGUUGGAUUUCUGCGGGGACGGAGCGGCCGGUCGCAACUUGCGACCCGAGCUAGCGCUUUCCCCGCAUCCUGCCGCGAACCGUGCUACCAUUAGUUUAGUGGCGCUGGGGAUCGGCUCGAUUACUUUGAGAAAAAUAGAGUGUUCAAAGCAGGCCACACGCCUUGAAUAAGUUAGCAUGGAAUAAUGACUAAGGACUUCGGUUCUAUUUUGUUGGUGUUCGGGACUGAAGUAAUGAUUGAUAGGGACAGUUGGGGCGGUCUGUAUUCCAAAGCGAGAGGCGAAAUUCUUAGACCUUCGGAAGACAAACAGCUGCGAAAGCGUUCCGCAAGGAUGUUCCCUUUGAUCAAGAACGAAAGUUGGGGGAUCGAAGACGAUCAGAUACCGUCGUAGUCUCAACUAUAAACUAUACCAGCUAGGGAUCGGCCAACGUUUAAUUAAUCGACUUGGUCGGCACCUUAUGAGAAAUCAAAGCAUCUGGGUUCCGGGGGGAGUAUGGUCGCAAGGCUGAAACUUAAAGGAAUUGACGGAAGGGCACCACCAGCCGUGGAGCCUGUGGCUUAAUUUGACUCAACACGGGAAAACUUACCAGGUCCAGACAUAGGAAGGAUUGACAGAUUGAUAGCUCUUUCUUGAUUCUGUGGGUGGUGGUGCAUGGCCGUUUUUAGUUGGUGGAGCGAUUUGUCUGCUUAAUUGCGUUAACGAACGAGACCCCAGCCUGCUAAAUAGCGCGGCUGAGCUUUGCUCGGUGCGAGCUUCUUAGAGGGACCAUGAUGCGCGAUAGCACAAGGAAGUUUGGGGCAACAACAGGUCUGUGAUGCCCUUAGAUGUUCUGGGCCGCACACGGGCUACACUGGCGCCUGCAACGAGCAUAUCAGCUGGCCCGAGAGGGUCUUGGCUAAUCUUUUGAACCGGCGCCGUGCUUGGGAUUGACCUUUGCAAUUGUUGGUCAUGCAACGAGGAAUGCCUUGUAAACGCGAGUCAUCAGCUCGCAUUGAAUACGUCCCUGCCCUUUGUACACACCGCCCGUCGCUCCUACCGAUGAAUGUUCCGAUGAAAUUUUCGGAGAGCGCCAGAGAACGGGGCUCCGCCUUGCAGAUCUGGAGGCUCAAAGUCACUUAAAUCUGAACAUUUCGAGGAAGGAGAAGUCGUAACAAGGUAGCCG
RNAcentral lists this ribosomal RNA (1218 nucleotides) under uncultured Rhizaria. RNAcentral's name for it is "SSU rRNA". It matches the Rfam family "Eukaryotic small subunit ribosomal RNA", at positions 577 to 1805 of the family's 1831-position model. The record is from RNAcentral.